This 451-nucleotide ribosomal RNA is filed under the name uncultured bacterium. RNAcentral describes it as "bacterial SSU rRNA". It matches the Rfam family "Bacterial small subunit ribosomal RNA", at positions 354 to 796 of the family's 1533-position model. The record is from RNAcentral.
GUGGGGAAUAUUGCGCAAUGGGCGAAAGCCUGACGCAGCAACGCCGUGUGAGGGAUGAAGGCUUUCGGGUCGUAAACCUCUGUCAGAAGGGAAGAACGGGCAUUGGUCUAAUAGGCCUUUGUUUUGACGGUACCUUCAGAGGAAGCACCGGCUAACUCCGUGCCAGCAGCCGCGGUAAUACGGAGGGUGCAAGCGUUAUUCGGAAUUACUGGGCGUAAAGCGCACGUAGGCCGCUUUGUAAGUCAGGGGUGAAAUCCCACGGCUCAACCGUGGAACUGCCCUUGAAACUGCGAAGCUUGAAUCCUGGAGAGGGUGGCGGAAUUCCUGGUGUAGGAGUGAAAUCCGUAGAUAUCAGGAGGAACACCGGUGGCGAAGGCGGCCACCUGGACAGGUAUUGACGCUGAGGUGCGAAAGUGUGGGGAGCAAACAGGAUUAGAAACCCGGGUAGUCC